Molecule: non-coding RNA, 23 nt
Filed under: Arabidopsis thaliana (thale cress)
Lineage: Eukaryota; Viridiplantae; Streptophyta; Magnoliopsida; Brassicales; Brassicaceae
Source: RNAcentral
GGAUGACUAUUACGUGAAAUGUA